Long non-coding RNA from Octopus sinensis (East Asian common octopus), 128 nucleotides. RefSeq lists it as uncharacterized. The transcript is spliced from 4 exons. The record is from RefSeq and is a predicted model, not a curated record. NCBI's taxonomy places the organism in Eukaryota, Metazoa, Mollusca, Cephalopoda, Octopoda, Octopodidae.
UAUAUAUUCGACGGGCAUCAUUCAGUUUCUGUCGACCAAAUCUACUCACAAGGCUUUGGUCAGCCCGAGGCUAUGGUAGAGGUCACUUGCCCAUGGUGUCACGCAGUGGGAUUGAACUCGGAACCGUG